CCUUCUAGUGGUUGUUGUCCUUUCUAGCAUAGCUUAUUGGCCACCUAAUUGCUUGGGCAGAGUUGUGUUCAAACGCCUAAUUCCAGGACGGAGUUUUAUUCUCUGCUGAUGGAUCUAUAUGUGGUUGGGGGAGUGCAUUUUAAAGUUCAGGCCAUUUUCAAGUCUGCCUGGGCUUUUACUUUCUGUUGGACCCUUUGGCAUCUCCUCUGCAUAAUCAUGCAGCCUCAGCCAAGAAUAUGCUGGACUCAUUUAUGACUACAUCCUCAGGUUAGUAGAACCCAUGACUGCCUUGCUUGCCUGCUGCUGAGAUUGUCACUUGCACCUACAAUGCCCAGGGCAUAGUGUGGCCAUCCACUCCAAACUGAAUGAGGCCCCUUUGUUAGUGCAAACUGGCAGAUCCUCAGGGCAUGCCCCAUCUCAAUCAGUAGAACCUACUGAGCUGGGAGGUGGGGGGAAAUGGGAGCAGCCUCAGGCAAGACAGAUUUUCACUGUUCUUAAUUAAAAUUUUGCAGUUUUCAAGCAUCAACACUUUGGUUUGUGUAUGCUUUUUGAGUGAUUUCCAGAGCACUGAUUGGCUGUUUCUGUCAAUUUUGUCUUGCUUUAUAGUUUUAUUUUGGGGAGAAGAUUUGCUGACCCCAUCACUUGCACAUAGCCAGAAGUCCUGCUCUAACAAUACUUAUGAAACUCUGUACUCAUAAUCCAUCACAUCUCUUUCACUCAGAGGUUGCUUUCCCGUUGCAUCUUUGACAUAGUUUCCUAGACUCUGCUCCAUGAUUUAACUUGAAAGUCUGAAAUGAAGAUGGAGGAGGCAGUGGGAAAAGUUGAAGAACUCAUUGAGUCUGAAGUCCCACCAAAAACAUCUGAACAAGAGACAGCUAAGGAGGAAGAUGGAUCCGUAGAACUGGAAUCUCAAGUUCCGAAAGAUGGUGUGGCGGAUUCUACAGUUCUUUCUUCAAUGCCCUGCUUGUUGAUGGAACUGAGAAGGGACUCUUCUGAGUCUCAGUUAGCAUCCACGGAGAGUGACAAGCCGACAGCUGGUCGAGUUUAUGAGAGUGACUCCUCUAACCACUGCAUGCUUUCCCCUUCCUCUAGUGGUCACCUGGCCGAUUCAGAUACACUGUCUUCUGCAGAGGAGAAUGAACCCUCCCAGGCAGAGACAGCAGUAGAAGGAGACCCUUCCGGAGUGUCUGGUGCCACAGUUGGGCGCAAGUCUCGCCGGUCCCGAUCUGAAAGUGAGACAUCCACCAUGGCUGCCAAGAAAAACCGGCAAUCCAGUGAUAAACAGAAUGGCCGAGUCGCCAAGGUUAAAGGUCAUCGGAGCCAAAAGCACAAGGAGAGAAUCAGGCUACUGAGGCAGAAACGGGAGGCUGCUGCACGAAAGAAAUAUAACUUGUUGCAGGACAGUAGUACCAGUGAUAGUGACCUGACUUGUGACUCAAGCACGAGCUCAUCAGAUGAUGAUGAAGAAGUUUCAGGGAGCAGCAAGACAAUCACUGCAGAGAUACCAGAUGGACCUCCAGUUGUAGCUCAUUAUGAUAUGUCUGACACCAGCUCUGAGCCAGAAGUGGUAAAUGUGGACAAUUUAUUGGCGGCUGCAGUAGUUCAAGAGCACAGUAAUUCUGUAGGAGGCCAGGACACAGGAGCUACCUGGAGGACCAGCGGGCUUCUAGAGGAGCUGAAUGCGGAGGCAGGUCAUUUGGAUCCAGGAUUCCUAGCAAGUGACAAAACAUCUGCUGGCAAUGCACCACUCAAUGAAGAAAUUAAUAUUGCUUCUUCAGAUAGUGAAGUGGAGAUUGUGGGAGUUCAGGAACAUGCAAGAUGUGUUCAUCCUCGAGGAGGUGUGAUUCAGAGUGUUUCUUCAUGGAAGCAUGGCUCUGGCACGCAGUAUGUUAGCACCCGGCAAACACAGUCAUGGACUGCUGUGACUCCCCAGCAGACUUGGGCGUCACCUGCAGAAGUUGUUGACCUUACAUUGGAUGAGGAUAGCAGACAAACAAGGAUGGCUGCAGAGUGCCAGUCGAAGCUUGCCCGGUGUGUCGUGGGUUCAUUGAUUUAACAUGUGUUGACACCUGUCACUGAAGAUAAUGGAAGAGAAAGCUCCUGGCCUGGCAAGAUGGCCAAGAAGCACACAGACGAUGACAACAGACGUGAUGGGUGCAGAGGUGGUGAUGAGUACUGAGCAGUCUGGGGACACCGACCCCAUAUCUUGGGAGCUUAGUGUGACAAGACGUGACACUGGAGAGAUGGGGGAACAAAGCCGCAGAAGGCGUUAUCACCGUGCUCUUGACCUGAAGGCCCUGGGAAGCCACUGGAGAGUGUCAGUGCGGGGGAGGCGUGCGGAGAUGUGUGUGGAGAAUGUGCUAGAAAACAACGUGCCUGGAGGAGAGUGGUCAGGGAGGGGGCCCGUCACCACCACACAGGUCAGAUGUGACGGUGGCCCGCCUGCCAGAGGGAUGAUAGAAGACCAGUCAAGAUGGUGAAAUAGGCAAGACUUGGAGAAUCCUGCCUUCAGUCCAUCCUCCUCCACAGACACACUCCAGGGCUUGUGUCCUUGAAGCCCUUCUAAGCACAGUGACCGUCCUGCAAAGGACGGCGCCCCAGACGUGCCACUCAGUCCUGUUGUCAGGCCUGCACCUGUGGCACCUGAAACAGAAGCACUUGGAGUCUGAGGAGGGUCUGCACCCCUCUGCCUGUCCCACCAAGACUGGCCCAGUGUUUUGCCGAGCAGAUAUGCGGAUAGGCAAAAAUCCAGUCUUUUGAUAAUCUGUUCUGUUGGCAAGGCUGUGGAGAAAUAGGUGGUUUUUGACAUUGUUGGUGGGAUUGCAGGACGCAAGACCCCAUGAAGGAGAAUUUGUCACACCGAAGAAAACUAAGUACACUUUUACCCUCUACCCAGUAACCGAACUGUGGGAACUUACCCUGAACAUACACCUCAACCACAUGGAAAUAUUGGUGUAAAGAACACUGGGGCCUGCCCAGCUGCACCGGAAAGAACACCAGCACCAAGAAGAGGAAGAGCAAUGACACCAAUGCCAAGGCGACCACCAGAGGGGUAUCGGUUACCAGGGUGUAGUAAUUCUCUACAGAUGGCUUCAGGACAAAGGGGAGAUUGUCUUGGGUGGAGCACACCGUCUUUGUAUUGUUCCCCGAAUCUCUGU
Kogia breviceps (pygmy sperm whale) is the source of this 3158-nucleotide non-coding RNA. The record is from RefSeq and is a predicted model, not a curated record. Lineage: Eukaryota; Metazoa; Chordata; Mammalia; Artiodactyla; Physeteridae.